RNAcentral lists this ribosomal RNA (253 nucleotides) under uncultured bacterium. RNAcentral's name for it is "partial 16S ribosomal RNA". It matches the Rfam family "Bacterial small subunit ribosomal RNA", at positions 524 to 776 of the family's 1533-position model. The record is from RNAcentral.
UACGGGGGGGGCAAGCGUUGUUCGGAAUUACUGGGCGUAAAGGGCUUGUAGGUGGCCAACUAAGUCAGACGUGAAAUCCCUCGGCUUAACCGGGGAACUGCGUCUGAUACUGGAUGGCUAGAGUGUGGGAGAGGGAUGCGGAAUUCCAGGUGUAGCGGUGAAAUGCGUAGAUAUCUGGAGGAACACCGGUGGCGAAGGCGGCGUUCUGGACUGCAACUGACACUGAGGAACGAAAGCCAGGGGAGCAAACGGG